GUCCUUCGUGGUGUAGCCCUAGAAUGGUAAUAGGCUUCUAGACACUCAAAUGGAUAUAAAUGAACAAAGCCAUGAAGACAGAAGAUCUAUUAAGAUGCAUUCCAGGGAGACCAGUGGAUGUGAAACCAAGUGUCAAGGACCGAUACUACAAAUAUCUCCAUAAGGCCACUAAGUCCAUGUACAGGUUUGGAAGUAUUGCAAAGUACUGGAACACCCUUGUCUAAUGAGGUUCCACAGAAAGCCACAAAAAGAAUGUGCCUCCCAUAUCCAAGGUGUGUUAACACCUAACAGC
Molecule: long non-coding RNA, 292 nt
Organism: Mauremys mutica (yellowpond turtle)
Lineage: Eukaryota; Metazoa; Chordata; Testudines; Geoemydidae
Exons: 3
Source: RefSeq, a predicted model, not a curated record